GGAUUGUGGCUCAGCGGUAGAGCACUUGCCUAGCAUGGGCAGGUCCUGGGUUUGAUCCUCAGCACCA
RNAcentral lists this transfer RNA (67 nucleotides) under Marmota monax (woodchuck). RNAcentral's name for it is "tRNA.Ala". The record is from RNAcentral. Lineage: Eukaryota; Metazoa; Chordata; Mammalia; Rodentia; Sciuridae.